This 253-nucleotide ribosomal RNA is filed under the name uncultured bacterium. Its description in RNAcentral is "partial 16S ribosomal RNA". It matches the Rfam family "Bacterial small subunit ribosomal RNA", at positions 524 to 776 of the family's 1533-position model. The record is from RNAcentral.
UACAGAGGUGGCAAGCGUUGUUCGGAAUUACUGGGCGUAAAGGGCGCGUAGGCGGCCUUCUAAGUCAGACGUGAAAUCCCCCGGCUUAACCUGGGAACUGCGUCUGAUACUGGAGGGCUUGAGUACUAAAGAGGGUCGCGGAAUUCCCGGUGUAGAGGUGAAAUUCGUAGAUAUCGGGAGGAACACCGGUGGCGAAGGCGGCGACCUGGGUAGAUACUGACGCUGAGGUGCGAAAGCGUGGGGAGCAAACAGG